RNAcentral lists this ribosomal RNA (393 nucleotides) under uncultured bacterium. RNAcentral's name for it is "partial 16S ribosomal RNA". It matches the Rfam family "Bacterial small subunit ribosomal RNA", at positions 356 to 766 of the family's 1533-position model. The record is from RNAcentral.
GGGGGAUAUUGCACAAUGGAGGAAACUCUGAUGCAGCAACGCCGCGUGAAGGAUGAAGGUCUUCGGAUUGUAAACUUUUGUACUUGGGGACGAUAAUGACGGUACCCAAGCAGCAAGCUCCGGCUAACUACGUGCCAGCAGCCGCGGUAAUACGUAGGGAGCAAGCGUUGUCCGGAUUUACUGGGUGUAAAGGGUGCGUAGGCGGCUAUGCAAGUCAGUUGUGAAAACUAUGGGCUCAACCCAUAGCCUGCAAUUGAAACUGCGUGGCUUGAGUGAAGUAGAGGUAGGUGGAAUUCCCGGUGUAGCGGUGAAAUGCGUAGAGAUCGGGAGGAACACCAGUGGCGAAGGCGACCUACUGGGCUUUAACUGACGCUGAGGCACGAAAGCAUGGGU